RNAcentral lists this transfer RNA (63 nucleotides) under Aedes aegypti (yellow fever mosquito). It matches the Rfam family "tRNA", at positions 1 to 59 of the family's 71-position model. From Rfam's summary of the family: Transfer RNA (tRNA) molecules are approximately 80 nucleotides in length. Their secondary structure includes four short double-helical elements and three loops (D, anti-codon, and T loops). The record is from Rfam by way of RNAcentral. Lineage: Eukaryota; Metazoa; Arthropoda; Insecta; Diptera; Culicidae.
GGCUCGGUAGCUUAGUUGGUAAAGCGCUUGUCUAGCAUACAAGAGUCCUGGGUUCCCGAGCAC